This 254-nucleotide ribosomal RNA is filed under the name Klebsiella pneumoniae. RNAcentral's name for it is "partial 16S ribosomal RNA". It matches the Rfam family "Bacterial small subunit ribosomal RNA", at positions 1000 to 1254 of the family's 1533-position model. Lineage: Bacteria; Pseudomonadati; Pseudomonadota; Gammaproteobacteria; Enterobacterales; Enterobacteriaceae. The record is from RNAcentral.
CCAGAGAUGGAUUGGUGCCUUCGGGAACUGUGAGACAGGUGCUGCAUGGCUGUCGUCAGCUCGUGUUGUGAAAUGUUGGGUUAAGUCCCGCAACGAGCGCAACCCUUAUCCUUUGUUGCCAGCGGUUCGGCCGGGAACUCAAAGGAGACUGCCAGUGAUAAACUGGAGGAAGGUGGGGAUGACGUCAAGUCAUCAUGGCCCUUACGACCAGGGCUACACACGUGCUACAAUGGCAUAUAAAAAGAGAAGCGACC